This 236-nucleotide long non-coding RNA is filed under the name Capsicum annuum. RNAcentral describes it as "long non-coding RNA (CANN_LNC019631)". The record is from RNAcentral. Lineage: Eukaryota; Viridiplantae; Streptophyta; Magnoliopsida; Solanales; Solanaceae.
CCAUGUGUACUAACAGUGGUUGUGUGGAUCCACUCAACUGGCAUCCCAAAGGACUUGAAGUCAUUACUAAAUUGGUAGGUGACCCCAAAGAGAAUGUCAAUCCUAAACUGGCGGGUGACAUCUCAUAGAAUGUUAGUCCUAAACAGGCAGGUGACAUCUCAUAAUCCUACAAUGGCUAGUAUUUCUAGAACAUAGGGACUGCUUCUAUAGACCCAGACCUAACUGCUAGGCGAUCC